This 253-nucleotide ribosomal RNA is filed under the name uncultured bacterium. Its description in RNAcentral is "partial 16S ribosomal RNA". It matches the Rfam family "Bacterial small subunit ribosomal RNA", at positions 524 to 776 of the family's 1533-position model. The record is from RNAcentral.
UACGUAGGGUGCGAGCGUUGUCCGGAAUUAUUGGGCGUAAAGAGCUCGUAGGCGGUUUGUCGCGUCGGCCGUGAAAACUUGGGGCUUAACCCCAAGCUUGCGGUCGAUACGGGCAGACUUGAGUUCGGCAGGGGAGACUGGAAUUCCUGGUGUAGCGGUGAAAUGCGCAGAUAUCAGGAGGAACACCGAUGGCGAAGGCAGGUCUCUGGGCAUUAACUGACGCUGAGGAGCGAAAGCAUGGGGAGCGAACAGG